Molecule: ribosomal RNA, 361 nt
Filed under: Enterobacter sp. SbPT4
Lineage: Bacteria; Pseudomonadati; Pseudomonadota; Gammaproteobacteria; Enterobacterales; Enterobacteriaceae
Description: bacterial SSU rRNA
Rfam family: Bacterial small subunit ribosomal RNA
Source: RNAcentral
UCGCAAGACCAAAGAGGGGGACCUUCGGGCCUCUUGCCAUCAGAUGUGCCCAGAUGGGAUUAGCUAGUAGGUGGGGUAACGGCUCACCUAGGCGACGAUCCCUAGCUGGUCUGAGAGGAUGACCAGCCACACUGGAACUGAGACACGGUCCAGACUCCUACGGGAGGCAGCAGUGGGGAAUAUUGCACAAUGGGCGCAAGCCUGAUGCAGCCAUGCCGCGUGUAUGAAGAAGGCCUUCGGGUUGUAAAGUACUUUCAGCGGGGAGGAAGGUGUUGUGGUUAAUAACCGCAGCAAUUGACGUUACCCGCAGAAGAAGCACCGGCUAACUCCGUGCCAGCAGCCGCGGUAAUACGGAGGGUGC